GAAUCAGAUUUUUCAUCUAAAGGAUAGAUAGAAUUUGAAUCAGAUGGAACAUUUUCAUUUGAAUGCAUUUUUGGACCAUGUAAAGGUGUACAAAUCUGACAGACAUGAUUUUGCAGUCUCUCACUUUCAGUAUUAAACUCAAAAGUUAAUCCGUGUUCAUUGGACAUCUACUUACAAGUAUCCACAACGCUGCUGAUCUUUACAAGGAAAACUCUCUGCCAAAUGACUUGAAUAUCAGAAAAUCUUAGCCUCAAUCA
Molecule: unclassified non-coding RNA, 257 nt
Filed under: Hevea brasiliensis (rubber tree)
Lineage: Eukaryota; Viridiplantae; Streptophyta; Magnoliopsida; Malpighiales; Euphorbiaceae
Source: RNAcentral